This 4667-nucleotide ribosomal RNA is filed under the name Candidatus Levybacteria bacterium CG22_combo_CG10-13_8_21_14_all_35_11. RNAcentral's name for it is "23S ribosomal RNA". The stretch from base 1 to 3536 matches the Rfam family "Bacterial large subunit ribosomal RNA". Lineage: Bacteria; Candidatus Levyibacteriota. The record is from RNAcentral.
UGAAUGCCUAGGAGAUUUUGGCCGAGGAAGGACGCAUAUGGCGGCGAUACUCAUCGGGUAGGUGCCAUAAACCUAUGAUCCGGUGGUGUCCGAAUGGGGGAACCCCUCGCAUUUUGCGAGAACCUAACAUAAAGUUAUAUCAGUAAUGGUAUAUAUAGUGUUAGGUGGGGAACGGUGUGAACUGAAACAUCUUAGUAGCACCAGGAAAAGAAAUCAUAUGAGAUUCCGUAAGUAGCGGCGAGCGAAAGCGGAGCAGUCUAAACCCGAAUUUAUUCGGGGGUUGCAGGGCAGACGAUAUUCGAUGCAGUUUUUUCUAGUAGAAGGACUUGGAAUAGUCCCCCAUAGAAAGUGAAAGGCUUGUAAACGAAAGAAAAGACUCCGAUAGUUUGUACCUAAGUACCAUGGAGCACGAUAAAACUCUGUGGGAAUCUGGGGCGGCCACGUUCCAAGACUAAACACCAGAAUCUACCGAUAGUGAACUAGUACCGUGAGGGAAAGGUGAAAAGCACCCCGGGAGGGGAAUGAAAUAGACCUGAAAUUGUCGGCUGACAAGCAGCGAGAGUCCCGAUUUAUCGGGAUAAUCGCGUGCCUAUUGAAGAAUGAACCGGUGAGUUAUUGAUUGCAGCGUUGGUCUAAGUUACGUAACGUAACGGAGACAUAGUGAAAGCGUGACCUAAUUGGUCGUUAGUUGCAGUCAGUAGACCCGAAACUGGGUGAGCUAUCCUUGAGCAGGGUGAGUCCCGAUGAGAAUCGGGAGGAGGCCCGAACCCGUAUCCGUAGCAAUGGGUUGGGAUGACUUGAGGUUAGGGGCAAUAUGCCAAACGAACCCAGAGAUAGCUGGUUCUCCCCGAAAUAUAUUUUGGUAUAGCGGGAUACGUAUAGAGCUUUGGAGGUAGAGCACUGAAUGGUUCACGGCGGCGCAAGCUGUCGUAACCAAUCAAACUCCGAAUGCCAGAGCUUGUUGUAUUCUAGUCAGACUCGUCGGGCUAAGCUGAUGGGUCAAAAGGGAAACAGCCCAGACUACCAACUAAGGCCUCUAAAUAAAAACUAAGUUUAGAAGGAAGUCAAGUUCCAGAGACAACCAGGAGGUUGGCUUAGAAGCAGCCAUCCUUUAAAGAUAGCGUAACAGCUCACUGGAGGAUCGGUACUUGGCGCCGAAAAUUUACCGAGGAUUAAGUUUUUUGCCGAAGUUGUAGAAUGCGCGUAAGCGUUUUGGUAGGGGAGCGUUCUGUUUGCAGUGAAGCUGUGCUGUAAGGCGUGGUGGAGCGGACAGAAGUGAGAAUGCCGGUAUGAGUAGCGAGAGUCCUGUGAGAAACAGGACCGCCGAAUGCCCAAGGUUUCCUCCGCAAUGUAAGUCAGCGGAGGGUUAGUCGGCCCUAAGGGUGGCCCUUAAUUAAAGGGGGAUAGCCCGAUGGACAAGUCGUUGAAAUUCGACUACAGAAUAUGAAUAUUCUGAGGGGGUAACGAAGUUGGAAGAUCAUAUCCUGCCGCAAGGUGGGACCAAGCAGCUAGGUAGGAGUAAGCGGCAAAUCCCUUAUUCUGUUUCCCCGAUUUAAUCGGGGUUUAAUCGAGCUGUGAGUGAAAGUUUCCUAGUAGUAGGGAACAAGAGUGUAAAUUUCAGUUUCCAAGAAACGCCUCACUGGUCCGCCGUAAGGUGGAAAAAUUCAUAUUUUACCGUACCAAUUACCGACACAGGUGGGCUGGUCGAGUAGACUAAGGCGAUCGGGAGAAAGAUGUUCAAGGAACUCGGCAAUAAAUCUAGGCGUAACCUUUGGGAGAUGCCUUACCGCGUGUAAGAACGCGGCUACAACAAAAGAUUACUUAGCGACUGUUUAUCUAAAACACAGGUCCCUGCAAAGCCGAAAGGCAACGUAUAGGGGCUGACACCUGCCCAGUGCUGGUAAGUCAAGUAUCUCUAGUGAGACAGCAAUGUUCAGCUUAGGAUACAAGCUCCAGUAAACGGCAGCAGUAACUAUAAGAAAUUGUAGUUGUAAAAUUUAGCUAUAUGCUGGAAAAUCUGUACCGCAAACGGUUGAAGUAUCUGACGCUACUAUGUUAAAAUUAAUAUAGUGAAAAUGCGAUCAGUGCAGACAAUCAGCAGGAAAGACCUUGAUCGGAAAAAUUUAGGCUAUUUUAUAGCAGGAUUUGUUGAAGGAGAGGGAAGCUUUAAUGUAUCGCUUCGUAAAAAAAGCGACUAUAAAGUUAAUUGGCAAGUCGUCUUAAGUUUUAAUGUUUCACAAAAAGAUCCAUCUAUUCUUUAUAUCAUUAAAAAAGAAUUAGAAUGUGGAAUUAUUAAGACUAGGAAAGAUGGUUUGCGCUCUCUGGACACAACAAAUGCUCAAGAAAUAGUUGAAAAAGUUAUUCCAUAUUUUUCUAAAUACCCUUUAUUAUCUAAAAGUAAAAUUUAUAACUUUAAUAUUUUUUGCAAAAUUUCAAAACUUGUACAAAGUGGAGAACACAAAAAUAUUAAUGGUUUAAAAAAGAUUUCUCUCUUAAGAGAAAAAUUAAAUAAAGGUAAGGGGCGAACAAGAAAAUAUGAGUAUAAAGAUAUAUUUCCGGUUAAGGAAUCCUCAGAGACUAUACGCUAAACUCGUUUUACAAAACGAUGAUGAUAUAGUCCGACCUCAUGGGCGACCAUGAGACUCUGUAGCCAAUCAGAGCACGUAACAAAAGUGAACUGUUCUAUGGUAACUAACUUCGUUGCCUUAGAAAUCGUGUUUUAGAAAUCCGACUAUAUGCUGGAAAAACUCAUGUAUCCGACAAUACUAGAAAUAGUGAAAAUUUGAUCGGUGGAGUCAAUCAGCAGGAAAGACUCCGAUGUAUCAUCGGAGAAUCCCCAGAGACUAUACGUCGGAGUCCCAAUUGAAUCGGGACAAGAUAUAGUCCGAACUCUAUAGCGAUAUAGAGAGUUUAGGUAAUAAUUUAUCUAAGAUUAACAAUAAUGAGCGAAGUUCCUUGUCGGGCGAGUUCCGACCCGCACGAAUGGUAGAACGACUAAGUAACUGUCUUGAACAUCUACCCGGCGAAAUUGAGAUGGCUGUGAAGACGCGGCCUAAUUAUGCAUGGACAAAAAGACCCCGGGAGCUUUACUGUAGCUUGGCAUUUGAAAGUUUAUUUUAAUUGUUUAGAAUAGGAGGGAGCUUAGGCGAAAUAUGAAAUACCUCUCUUUGAAAUAAGUGAUCAUUACUUUUAGCCACAUAAAAAUCUGGCAGAAGGACAGUGUCUGGUGGGCAGUUUAACUGGGGAAGUUGACUCCUAAAGAGUAACGGAGUCGUACAAAGGUUGGCUAGUCUUGGAUGGAAAUCAAGAUAAUAGUGCAAACGCAUAAGCCAGCUUGACUGCGAGACCUACAAGUCGAGCAGGGACGAAAGUCGGUGUUAGUGAUCCUGUAAUGCCUAGUGGUAGGCAUACAGCUUAACGGAUAAAAGCUACCCCGGGGAUACAUUACUGUGUCCCGAUUCUGUGGUAACAUAGAAUCAAGUAUACGGCUAAUAACGGUGAAGCCCUCUUGUCUGGUGGUUACAAGUCUUUCCACUACGAGGAGGCAAAGGGUAAUACCGUGGGAAGUCGGAGGAAUAAAUGACACGAAAACAGAAAGAUAUCGUAAUAGGAAUGAUUUUAGGCGAUGCUUAUUUGCAAAAAACAGGUAAGCAAAACGCAAGAUUACGACUUGAACAAGGAAUUUCUCAGAGAAAUUAUCUUGAAUGGAAAGUAGAACAAUUACAGAACUAUUUUCAAAGCAAGAUAAAAGUUCUUGAACGAAAUAAUCCUAUUUGGAAUAAAACAUAUCAAUAUGUUCGAAUCCAAUCGACAGCAAGUCCUGAUUUUGGAAAAUUGCAAAACAUUUUUUACAACAAUUCGCAAAAGAUUAUUCCAAAAACUAUAACAACAAUCUUUAAAAACCCUCUUUCUUUAGCUGUUUGGUUUAUGGAUGAUGGAUAUUAUUAUCAAAGAGAUAAAAUAGCUUAUCUUUAUAUUCCAAAUUUUGAUAAAGAAAGUAUGAAGUAUUUACUAGAAACGUUGAAACACAAUUUCAGCCUUCUGCCGAUACUUAAAAAGAAAAAAAGGGGAUCUGUUCUAAUCUUUAGUGUCAUAGAAACGCAAAAAUUGAUAAGCUUAAUAGGGAAACAUAUUAUUCUAUCAAUGCGUUAUAAAUUACCUCUUGACCCCGUAUCGACUGAUCGAAAGUCGCACAACGCGACAAGUAGUGAGAUAGUUAUUUAACUAUCACACGCCGUACCCCUGAAGUAAAAAAUUUCACACUUUAGGGUGAAGAUAUAGUCAGUGCAGCAAGAAAUUGCUGAUAGGAUGUAGAAAUACAUUUCAUGAACAGGCUGAUCGCAUCCAAGCGUCCACAGCGACGAUGCGGUUUGGCACCUCGAUGUCGGCUCAUCGCAUCCUGGGGGUGGAGAAGCUCCCAAGGGUUGGGCUGUUCGCCCAUUAAAGCGGUACGCGAGCUGGGUUCAGAACGUCGUAAGACAGUUCGGUCUCUAUCCUGCAUAAUCGUUGAGAUUUGAGGGAAUUUGUCCCUAGUACGAGAGGACUGGGAUGAGGGAAUCCCUGGUGUGUCAGUUGUUUCUUUAAAAGAGCAACGCUGAGUAGCUAUAUUCCCAACCGAUAACCGCUGAAAGCAUCUAAGUGGGAAGCGGUCCCCAAGAUAAGAUCUC